AAUGAACGCGGGCGGCGUGCUUAACACAUGCAGUCGAGCGAGAAAGUUUUGAAAAAGAUUCUUCGGAUGAAAUUUAAAAUGGAAAGCGGCGGACGGGUGAGUAACGCGUAGGCAACCUGCCCCAUACAAAAGGGAUAGCAUUUGGAAACGAAUAUUAAUACCUUAUGAAACUUAACUAGUGCAUGCUAGGUAGGUCAAAGAUUUAUCGGUAUGGGAUGGGCCUGCGUCUGAUUAGCUAGUUGGUGAGGUAACGGCUCACCAAGGCGACGAUCAGUAGCCGACCUGAGAGGGUGAACGGCCACAUUGGAAAUGAGACACGGUCCAAACUCCUACGGGAGGCAGCAGUGGGGAAUAUUGCACAAUGGGGGAAACCCUGAUGCGGCAACGCCGCGUGAACGAUGAAGGCCUUUGGGUCGUAAAGUUCUGUUCUAGGUGAUGAAAACUGACAAUAACCUAGGAGAAAGCCCCGGCUAACUCCGUGCCAGCAGCCGCGGUAAUACGGAGGGGGCAAGCGUUAUCCGGAAUUAUUGGGCGUAAAGGGUACGUAGGUGGCCUUUUAAGCGUAGGGUAUAAGGCAAUGGCUCAACCAUUGUUCGCCCUAUGAACUGGAAGGCUUGAGUGCAGGAGAGGAAAGCGGAAUUCCUAGUGUAGCGGUGGAAUGCAUAGAUAUUAGGAGGAACAUCAGCGGCGAAGGCGGCUUUCUGGACUGCAACUGACACUGAGGUACGAAAGCGUGGGGAGCAAACAGG
Molecule: ribosomal RNA, 749 nt
Filed under: uncultured bacterium
Lineage: Bacteria
Description: bacterial SSU rRNA
Rfam family: Bacterial small subunit ribosomal RNA
Source: RNAcentral